UUUAGGAAAUGAAUUAGAAGACAAUGGAUGUAAUUUGGCUGAGGAUUCAAAAGCCGAACUAACACAAUAGUAGUGUGUUAACCCGUAACUUAUGAGAAUGCUUAGGUUGGUAAGGUGUCAAUGGAAGGUUUGUUAAGUGGAUAGAAACUUCGACCCGCUAUCAAAAAUGAUAGGAACCUCAGUACGAAUCGAACGCCACACUUUCGGGAUUAAAGUGAUAAGUUCGGAUAGAAAGACGGGUUGACGCCACAAGGGUUACUUGAUAAGUCAGACGAGUCUUUGGAGAACAAUGAGAGUUGAAAACAAACUCACAAAGUAAUCAGAUUUCAUAUAAAGUUUAAAAGUAUAUUGUCUAACCCCAAAACAAUUACAAAGCAAACUAUUUAUAGCUAAAUUCCUAGGCUAGCCGAAUGGACACUUGAGCAGCUAAAAAGUCAGCUUAUUUUCAAAGCAAAUGAAUUGAAAAUUUCAUGUAGCUUCCUCGAACGUCCCUUGAAGCUUUCUUGAAGAUUCCCAGCUUUGGAGACGUCAAUGGACAGCCAUUUGAUGUCUUCUAAUAGCCUUGAAUUAAUGAGGUGAUGGUUGAGCUGAAAUGGCUGAAUAGAAUUGUUUAGAUUGGCCUAAAUUCGUCCAACUUGUGUGAAAGCUCUUAUGGAUGCUUGGGGAGCUCAAAGGCCAACUUGGGGAAGAGAAAUGGGCUACCAAAUAAAUGUGAGGAGUCAUAGCUUUUAAUCUCCACGAAGAGGCACAUUCCCUCACAUGGACGGCACAUUUAUGGCAUUUGAGAAGAACGAAAAUGGCUCAUGGAAAAGAGGAAUCAGCAACUCUUCAUGGAUCCCUUGCUGUGCACGAAAAAAAUAAAUCAGCAGCUCAUUAAGUGGACGUUCCUUGCAUGUGGAACAUCACAUUUAAUUCAUGGCUUUGCUACACAAUAAAUCAGCAAGCAGCUUCUUUAAUUUCGUCCAUUAAAUGGCCACAUGAAAAAGCACAAGCAGCUCCUUAAAUGCUUCCAGCAUCCAUUGAAUGGCCGUCCAUAAUUGCUUUUGCUGCACAUUAAUUCCAGCAAUUUUAAUUUCGGCAACAACCACUUCUUUUAAUGCUGUCCAUGUACCUGCAUGCAACAACCAUUAAUUCAUGUAAAGACAACAUUAAAUGGUUAACUAGACAUAUUUAAUUCGGCAGCCACAAUUAACUUCAACUGGACACCAUUUAAGACAUCAUUAAAUUCGGUUGUAGCAAAACAAAUUAAAUGAUGUAAUGACAAUUAAAUUCAGCUGGACACCUUAAAAACAUACAUUAAAUUCAUCCAAACAUGUAGCAGCAGCAUUAAUUUCGUCCAGACAUAUUUAUAACAUGCAGUGGCAGCAUUAAAUUCAUCAUAAUAAAUAGAUGUAAUAGCCUAGACAUAUUUAUGCUAUGUAUGAAAAUAGGACACAUUAAAAAAAACAUAAAAAUAAAACAUAUUUAAAACACCUAAUUAAAAUGUCCAAUUUUAAUAAAUUUAAUACUAACACUUAGUUGUGCUGGAAUAAAUAAAUAAACUAACUUAUUCAAUUUAUUUUAGCAAAUGAAAAUUUAAGAAUUAAAAUAAACUCAAAUUGAGCAAAAUGAUCCCAUUGAGCUGGAAACAAGCUAAACGAAGCUCAGCGAGAUGCAAUUGAGCUAAUUUAGCUCGCAUGGGUGUGCAAGAAAUACUUAUGGAGCUGAUCGAAAAAUGUGCCCGAGGCGUGGUCGUAUCAUCCCCUCCCUCUUUAAGGCGAUUUGUCCUCAAAUCGGGCCAUUUGCUCGAGAAAUUUUUUUUCAAGAUCUCGAACCCUUUUGUUCAUGAUCCGAAUAGAAUCAUUUCCUAAACUUUGAAAAUCACAAAUGGUUCGAUAAGAAAUUGAAUUAUUUCCACGCCCUCCCUCUUUAAGAGGGAAACAAUUUAGAGUGUCACCUUUCCAAAAUGAAUCAAAAAGUUCAUGGAUAGAAACAAAUCCGAACCACAAAAUAGUCGAAAGGCAUAAUCUCGAAAGUCAAAAUUGCAAAAUCCAAACCCUUUUAACAAGAACAAAGAAUAAUAAUCUCCGGGGUCAAAAACGAAGCUUCCUCUUGCUUGGCUUGACGUUAACUUAGGAAUGUAUAUCCCGGGUUUAAAAAUGCGAUUUUCAUUGGUCGUUUCGCAACGCAACAAAAAUUUCUUCUUCACCAAGACUUCACACAUGUCAAGCAAAUAGGAGUUAGACAUACAUACAUUCGAGCAAUCAAACCCUUCAUAUUUCAUUCGCACACGUAAACAAGAAAAGUUCACACCACAAUUUAGAUAAUUCACAUGAUCAUCACAAGCACACAGAUUAGAUGUCAACUUUUUAUCACACAAUCCUAAAUUUUGUUUGGGCUUACCUGGACUUACUUCUUGAUCAAUCUUGACAAUGAUAGGCUCAUGAGCAGAAAGAUAUUUCACAUUACUAUGUAAAACACAUUUAUCAACAAUCAAAUUAUGAUUUCCAAUCAGAUCAAGAUGAAAAACUUUCUCACAAACUAAGUCUUUGCUAAUCUCGUCAUCAAGAAUCAAGUAAGAUUGAGAAGACUCAAAUACAGUAGAUCCCUUACAUGGCUUACCUUUAAGCACUUGUGGACUAGGGUCAUCUACGAUCUUACCUUUCUCGACUAAUCGAAAUCGUUUCUCCUUAGAAAAGUAUUGAAGUUGAAAUUGAUCGAUGGGAUUUCGAGAAACCUGAAAAGUAGAAACAAAACAAGGAAAAUUCAUAGGAUGGUUAGUAACAACACUCCUUUCUUGUUCACUUUCAUCUUUUUCGCUUAUUUCUUUUUCCAACUCAUUUUCAAAUCCUCUUUCCUUUACCAUAUCACUCAUUUCUUUUGCACUCUCAUUUCUUCCUUCAAUCUCACUCUCUUUUUCAGUUUUCUUUUCUUUUUCACACUCGUUUUUAUUCUCAAUCUCAUUUUCAAUUUUCUUUUCUAUCUCACACUCAUCUUCUUUUUCUUUCAUUUCUUUUUCAUUUUCAUUUUCUCGCUCGCGCUCUUUUUCUUUUUCACAUGCUAUUUCAAUUCCAUUACAAAAGUAGAAAUCAUCAAAAUGAGAAUCCUUUUGUUGAGAAUAAGAAAAGGAUUCUUCAUACAAAUGACAAUCAUCUCUUUGUAAUAAAUCUUCCGUAGCCGAGUACUUUGACACUCUUGAAACACGUGCACCUCUUCGUAAAUAAUCCUUUGUAGAUGAAUAAAUUGAGGCACUUGUAGAGACACGUUUACUUUUUCGUUUAUCAUCUCGGAAGGACUCAAACUCGGAGUUUGCUUAUCUUGGUCUCGAACGCCUUGUUGAAUAAACGUCUUGAUAAGAGUCUCUUGUCGAGUAGUGUUGUCGGGAUGAUCUUAACUCCGUCUCAUGACUCGAUGAAAUUUGCUUUUGUUGGGCUCUUGUCUUUAUUCGAUCCAAUCUAUCAUGCAAUUUAUCAAAGUUUGAUUUCACCAUUCUACGCAUUUCUUGCAUCAAAUAUUGGAAUUCUGAUUCGGAAAAUUCUUCUUGAGACAUUUUUUUUAAUCACACAACAAAAUUCACACUUCACUCACAAAUAAAAUUCACACAAUAUGGCUUUUACUUCUCUCGAAUGGUCUCACCAAUCACUCUUGCCUUUUUUUUCCACUCGAUUUUCGCCUCUCAAAGUUCUUCGCAAACUAAAUCGACGAAUCAAUACCGUUUGGCGUCGGCUUACAAAAUUGAUUUGGCUUGGUGGGUAAUGAUGUCGGAAAUGGUAGGCUAUAAAACAAAAUAGGAAUGGUUAAGUGUGGCUAUAUAGAUAUGGUCCUUCGGGCAACAAGCAAUGCUUUUACAAACCCAAAAUGAAUUUCAAUCACUCUUUUUUUUUUCAAUUUCGGUUUUUUUUUCUUUUUUUUUAAUUCCGAAUUUUUUUUCUUCUUUUUUUUCUUCAAUACUAAAUACAAAAAGUAAAAAUAAAUUGAAUACAAACUUUUUUUUUGAAUUUUUUUUCGAAUUUUUUUUUCAAGUUUUUUUUUAUUUUUUUUACAAUACCGUAAUACCGAUAACGUCAAUCUUACUCCGAUUCAGCUAGCGCUGAUACCAAAUGAUACGCUCCGGCUCGAGAAAGAGAGUCGAGUCGUAGAUGUGCCCGAUCGUGAAUUGGAGUAAUUUGAAAGCUUUACAAAAUAGGCUAGAAGAAAAGGAAUUAUUUAGGCUCAAAAGAGUUUUGUUGGUUUAGGAAAUGAAUUAGAAGACAAUGGAUGUAAUUUGGCUGAGGAUUCAAAAGCCGAACUAACACAAUAGUAGUGUGUUAACCCGUAACUUAUGAGAAUGCUUAGGUUGGUAAGGUGUCAAUGGAAGGUUUGUUAAGUGGAUAGAAACUUCGACCCGUUAUCAAAAAUGAUAGGAACCUCAGUACGAAUCGAACGCCACACUUUCGAGAUUAAAGUGAUAAGUUCAGAUAGAAUGACGGGUUGACGCCACAAGGGUUACUUGAUAAGUCAGACGAGUCUUUGGAGAACAAUGAGAGUUGAAAACAAACUCACAAAGUAAUCAGAUUUCAUAUAAAGUUUAAAAGUAUAUUGUCUAACCCCAAAACAAUUACAAAGCAAACUAUUUAUAGCUAAAUUCCUAGGCUAGCCGAAUGGACACUUGAGCAGCUAAAAAGUCAGGUUAUUUUCAAAGCAAAUGAAUUGAAAAUUUCAUGUAGCUUCCUAGAAUGUCCCUUGAAGCUUUCUUGAAGAUUCCCAGCUUUGGAGACGUCAAUGGACAGCCAUUUGAUGUCUUCUAAUAGCCUUGAAUUAAUGAGGUGAUGGUUGAGCUGAAAUGGCUGAAUAGAAUUGUUUAGAUUGGCCUAAAUUCGUCCAACUUGUGUGAAAGCUCUUAUGGAUGCUUGGGGAGCUCAAAGGCCAACUUGGGGAAGAGAAAUGGGCUGCCAAAUAAAUGUGAGGAGUCAUAGCUUUUAAUCUCCACGAAGAGGCACAUUCCCUCACAUGGACGGCACAUUUAUGGCAUUUGAGAAGAACGAAAAUGGCUCAUGGAAAAGAGGAAUCAGCAACUCUUCAUGGAUCCCUUGCUGUGCACGAAAAAAAUAAAUCAGCAGCUCAUUAAGUGGACGUUCCUUGCAUGUGGAACAUCACAUUUAAUUCAUGGCUUUGCUGCACAAUAAAUCAGCAAGCAGCUUCUUUAAUUUCGUCCAUUAAAUGGCCACAUGAAAAAGCACAAGCAGCUCCUUAAAUGCUUCCAGCAUCCAUUGAAUGGCCGUCCAUAAUUGCUUUUGCUGCACAUUAAUUCCAGCAAUUUUAAUUUCGGCAACAACCACUUCUUUUAAUGCUGUCCAUGUACCUGCAUGCAACAACCAUUAAUUCAUGUUAAGACAACAUUAAAUGGUUAACUAGACAUAUUUAAUUCGGUAGCCACAAUUAACUUCAACUGGACACUAUUUAAGACAUCAUUAAAUUCGGUUGUAGCAAAACAAAUUAAAUGAUGUAAUGACAAUUAAAUUCAGCUGGACACCUUAAAAACAUACAUUAAAUUCGUCCAAACAUGUAGGAGCAGCAUUAAUUUCGUCCAGACAUAUUUAUAACAUGCAGUGGCAGCAUUAAAUUCGUCAUAAUAAAUAGAUGUAAUAGCCUAGACAUAUUUAUGCUAUGUAUGAAAAUAGGACACAUUAAAAAAAACAUAAAAAUAAAACAUAUUUAAAACACCUAAUUAAAAUGUCCAAUUUUAAUAAAUUUAAUACUAACACUUAGUUGUGCUGGAAUAAAUAAAUAAACUAACUUAUUCAAUUUAUUUUAGCAAAUGAAAAUUUAAGAAUUAAAAUAAACUCAAAUUGAGCAAAAUGAUCCCAUUGAGCUGGAAACAAGCUAAACGAAGCUCAGCGAGAUGCAAUUGAGCUAAUUUAGCUCGCAUGGGUGUGCAAGAAAUACUUAUGGAGCUGAUCGAAA
This 5922-nucleotide long non-coding RNA is filed under the name Gossypium barbadense (sea-island cotton). RNAcentral's name for it is "long non-coding RNA (GBAR_LNC012398)". Lineage: Eukaryota; Viridiplantae; Streptophyta; Magnoliopsida; Malvales; Malvaceae. The record is from RNAcentral.